ACGCACGCUGGCGGCGUGCUUAACACAUGCAAGUCGAACGGAAAGGCCCUGCUUUUGUGGGGUGCUCGAGUGGCGAACGGGUGAGUAACACGUGAGUAACCUGCCCUUGACUUUGGGAUAACUUCAGGAAACUGGGGCUAAUACCGGAUAGGAGCUCCUGCUGCAUGGUGGGGGUUGGAAAGUUUCGGCGGUUGGGGAUGGACUCGCGGCUUAUCAGCUUGUUGGUGGGGUAGUGGCUUACCAAGGCUUUGACGGGUAGCCGGCCUGAGAGGGUGACCGGCCACAUUGGGACUGAGAGACGGCCCAGACUCCUACGGGAGGCAGCAGUGGGGAAUAUUGCACAAUGGGCGGAAGCCUGAUGCAGCAACGCCGCGUGCGGGAUGACGGCCUGCGGGUUGUAAACCGCUUUCGCCUGUGACGAAGCGUGAGUGACGGUAAUGGGUAAAGAAGCACCGGCUAACUACGUG
RNAcentral lists this ribosomal RNA (467 nucleotides) under uncultured bacterium. RNAcentral's name for it is "partial 16S ribosomal RNA". It matches the Rfam family "Bacterial small subunit ribosomal RNA", at positions 29 to 507 of the family's 1533-position model. The record is from RNAcentral.